AAAUUGAAGAGUUUGAUCAUGGCUCAGAUUGAACGCUGGCGGCAGGCCUAACACAUGCAAGUCGAACGGUAACAGGAAGCAGCUUGCUGCUUCGCUGACGAGUGGCGGACGGGUGAGUAAUGUCUGGGAAACUGCCUGAUGGAGGGGGAUAACUACUGGAAACGGUGGCUAAUACCGCAUAACGUCGCAAGACCAAAGAGGGGGA
RNAcentral lists this ribosomal RNA (205 nucleotides) under Salmonella enterica subsp. enterica serovar Muenchen. RNAcentral describes it as "partial 16S ribosomal RNA". It matches the Rfam family "Bacterial small subunit ribosomal RNA", at positions 1 to 213 of the family's 1533-position model. RNAcentral also lists the same sequence under 16 other names. The record is from RNAcentral. Lineage: Bacteria; Pseudomonadati; Pseudomonadota; Gammaproteobacteria; Enterobacterales; Enterobacteriaceae.